Molecule: ribosomal RNA, 253 nt
Filed under: uncultured prokaryote
Description: partial 16S ribosomal RNA
Rfam family: Bacterial small subunit ribosomal RNA
Source: RNAcentral
GACAGAGGGGGCAAGCGUUGCUCGGAAUCACUGGGCGUAAAGGGCGCGUAGGCGGGUCAGUAAGUCAGUCGUGAAAUCUACGGGCUCAACCCGGAGGGGACGGCUGAGACUGCUGAUCUUGAGGGGAGCAGAGGAGUCUGGAAUUCCCGGUGUAGCGGUGAAAUGUGUAGAGAUCGGGAGGAACACCGGUGGCGAAGGCGGGGCUCUGGGCUCGACCUGACGCUGAGGCGCGAAAGCGUGGGGAGCAAACGGG